UUAAAACAAUGGAGACUAAGUCUUCUUUAUCUACAGAACAGGUAUAGCACAGGCAACAGCUGUUUAAAAGUACCUCACCCACUAAUACGCAUCAAGCCUGAUCUCUGAAGAGUUCCUUAUAGUUUGUUUUCCAUUAAAGAGGUGGGGAAGUAUAAGAAUAAUCACAAGAAUUUGCUCUCUGAAUCAU
This 187-nucleotide small RNA is filed under the name Chelonoidis abingdonii (Abingdon island giant tortoise). Its description in RNAcentral is "TUC338 (ENSCABG00000018641.1)". The record is from RNAcentral. Lineage: Eukaryota; Metazoa; Chordata; Testudines; Testudinidae.